This 490-nucleotide ribosomal RNA is filed under the name uncultured bacterium. Its description in RNAcentral is "partial 16S ribosomal RNA". It matches the Rfam family "Bacterial small subunit ribosomal RNA", at positions 29 to 507 of the family's 1533-position model. The record is from RNAcentral.
AAUGAACGCUGGCGGCAUGCCUUACACAUGCAAGUCGAACGGCAGCAUGACCUAGCUUGCUAGGUUGAUGGCGAGUGGCGCACGGGUGAGUAAUGCAUCGGAACGUGCCUUUUAGUGGGGGAUAACGUAGCGAAAGUUACGCUAAUACCGCAUAUUCUCUGAGGAGGAAAGCAGGGGACCUUCGGGCCUUUCGCUAGAAGAGCGGCCGAUGUCGGAUUAGCUAGUUGGUGAGGUAAAGGCUCACCAAGGCAACGAUCCGUAGCGGGUCUGAGAGGAUGAUCCGCCACACUGGGACUGAGACACGGCCCAGACUCCUACGGGAGGCAGCAGUGGGGAAUUUUGGACAAUGGGCGCAAGCCUGAUCCAGCCAUGCCGCGUGAGUGAAGAAGGCCUUCGGGUUGUAAAGCUCUUUCGGCUGGGAAGAAAUCGCACCCUCUAAUACAGGGUGUGGAUGACGGUACCAGCAUAAGAAGCACCGGCUAACUACGUG